GAGAAACACAAUUUGAAGUGUUUCUGUACUCAUUUAAACUGUCUCUAAUGAUAAUGCUUAAUAAUUAAUUUAUUGAGUUCUAUUAUUUUCUUAGUCAACCUAAGAUGUCGACCCUUGAUGCAUUCUAGGUGAAUUAGGUUUUAAUGUUACCAAUAUGUCACAUUUGUAGCCUUUUGAUAUUGGUACAUGUUACCAAAUUCAUUUCCAUGUAUAUUGCGUUUUAUUGCAAUUUUUCGGAUUCCGGUAUACUAAUUUGACCUAGCCGGAUGACCUAGUUCCCUCGGUUUUUGGGUUUCGAUCAAAACUACAAACUUGUAGAUCU
This 322-nucleotide unclassified non-coding RNA is filed under the name Hevea brasiliensis (rubber tree). Lineage: Eukaryota; Viridiplantae; Streptophyta; Magnoliopsida; Malpighiales; Euphorbiaceae. The record is from RNAcentral.